RNAcentral lists this unclassified non-coding RNA (1164 nucleotides) under Hevea brasiliensis (rubber tree). Lineage: Eukaryota; Viridiplantae; Streptophyta; Magnoliopsida; Malpighiales; Euphorbiaceae. The record is from RNAcentral.
AAAGAAUAAUCAGUUCAACUCUUCAUUUUUUCACCAAGUGAUGGAAAUUUUUCACCUGAUACAAACCCACCCAAAAAAUAGUCAAAAGCAAUGAGACAUCCUAAAUUAGAAAUGACCCAAAAAAUUUUAGGUUGAGCCAAAAUCAACAUGUUUGUGUCAGCCACUUAUAUGAAUUAAGAUACAAUUCCUCCAGUUCUUCAUAUUACUCAUAAAUAGUAUCAAAGUACUUAUGAAAGUUUAAAUAACAAGUACAUUACAAAUUAUAAAUUUAUAGAUUAUAACACAAGAUUUAAAAGCCCAAAAAUCUUGAAGUUAAAUUGAGUUUUGGUACAACAUCAAAAAUUUGCAUCAUAUUUGGUUUUUUUAAAAAUAUAAAUAAAAACACCAAAAACAGUUCUUCACCCAAUUUAGUCUAUAACCUUUUAGCGAAAGUUAAAUUAUUUACUUAGGACAAUAAUUAAUUUAAUCAUAAAAAAAUUGUGUAAACUAGAUAGGUAUGGUUGUCUUUUCUUUAAGUGCCUGUUAGCUUGAUCCGACACUUUUAUUUUAAGCAACCAUAAUAGAUGACCAGGGGCAGAUCGGGGAAGAAAAAUUAUAUGCCAAACCAAUGUGUACCCAACUCUGCAUUGUUCAUAUGUGGUACAUAUCCAAGAACUCCACAAUGUGACUUUGAUAUUUACACAGUUUUGGUCAUUACUCAUUAGCCAAUUAAUUCUCAGCAAUCAGCAUCCAUAUAUCUCUCUCUGACCCUUUUCUUUGUGGUAUUCAAAACUUUACACACCAUAGUCUUUCAUAUAAUCUCUGCCGCUAUAUGAAAAAUAUGUUCAGCUCAUUUCAAUCACAACGAAGAAAUAACACGUAUUAUGAGUAACAUUAGUCUAACCCUCAUAAAUUACACCAACUCAAUACGCAGCUUUUUCAUGAAAAAAGACCGUCAAGCUUUUGUAUCACCUGAUCUGACUCGACUAGAAAAAAAAAUUCUACUAGUCAACCCAAAAGAUGACCCAAUUACACCCUAAUCCCAAAGUAACCCAAACAACCCACAAAAAGAUGGCAUUCAAAAUAACCCAAACCUGCCUAACUUGAACAAAUUGUCACCUCUAAUUUAUGCAAACCAUACAUGUUUUCACCACACCUUGAUACAUGAUGCUUUCUGCUUUUAGU